Long non-coding RNA from Columba livia (rock pigeon), 4944 nucleotides. RefSeq lists it as uncharacterized. The transcript has 2 exons. The record is from RefSeq and is a predicted model, not a curated record. NCBI's taxonomy places the organism in Eukaryota, Metazoa, Chordata, Aves, Columbiformes, Columbidae.
GAUACCUCUGUAUGGCAGAGGUAGCUACCAGCCUGGAAAACAACUGUGACACAGUGCAACAGCAUAAUUCAAAAUUUAAGUAUUUCCUUACAUUUUGUUUUUAUGCUUUUACUUAGACUACAGGGUGGUAGUGCAUUGUUGCACCAAAGCAGUACAUCUCAGGGGGUUUUGCUGGCUAGCCUGAACCUUGCAGAGGUGGGUGCCUGUCAGCUUGGACAGAAGACCAGAAGAGGUGCGUAGGAGAGAGCCACAAGUUCCCUUACAAGGUGACAGCCGUUUUCUUCUCAGCUGUAUAACAACUAAAUAUUCUUGUCUUGUUAGUAUUGUUUUGAUAACAAAUAACCUAAGUUGUUUGAUACUGUUGUCUUAAACCUUUGUUGCAAUAUUCAUGCACAAAUAUAUGCACACACAAGCCUAGAACAAAAUUUUCACUGGAGAUGCACAAAAAAGGAUUUGAGCCACCAAAGUCCAGAAUUGUAGUCUGCAUUGCAUUCUGGGGGGAAAGGCCCAGCUUCUAACCACUUUCCCCUUGCACUGCAGCAGAAAAUAUUUUACUUGGUCAUGAGGAGAGUUUUCGUACCAGUAUAGGCUGCAAAGCAAAUUUCCUUCAGAUCAUUCUGGAGUUUUGGGGAAGAGACUGGGUAAGUGUUCGACUGAAAUGGCUUAGGGGUAGCAGAUCUUGAAGUGGUGAGGCAAGUAGGCUGGAUGAUCUUCUGAGGUUCCUCCCAGACGUACUUCUGUGAUGCUGUGAUUUAUUGUAAGAGGCUUCUUUCUAAGUAUAAAGACAUAACGGUAUCUCUCAUCUCCCUGGCUGUCAUGUUCUAAGACAAAUGCAUUUCACCAAUUUUAUGCUUGGGAAAAAAGGUCCAAUCUUCACGAGUUCUGCCUUCGAAUUUUGUCUGAUUUUCCCAUUAUGGCGGUUGGCCAAAUAAAUGCUAUGGCCUCUGCCUUACAAGCUUGCCUUGUGCUGACGGGUCUGCAUUUUAAACAUCCAUCCUUCCCAAGGGUAAUGUAGGUCUCUGACUUGUAUUUUUUAGAAUUAUACUGAAUCACAGUAAGCCCAAAAUAUUGAUUAUCGACCAAAGUAAAACGAAUGUCACCCAGUAAUAUGCGUAUGUAUGUGUGUAUCUCUCUGUUCAGGUGCAUUCAAAUGAACUGUACACACUUAGCAGUAUCAGCAAUGCUUCCUUCCCUCCUUUUUUUAUUUUAUUUUUUUUAAUAUAUAUAUAUUUUUUUUAUGGUAAAAAAAAAUCAAAAGUUUGUCUGAUUCAUAGCUAGACACAGCCUAUAUCUAAGCCCAGACAUCAUGGCUGAAAUUUGCUAACUUGGAAGGCGACUGUCUAAACCGAACUAACAAUGUCAAUUCUUUUAUACUUCCAAAUGUUCUGGUAUGAAUGAUACAUGGGCAUACUCUUUGGAAAAGAAAUAGAAUUUCAACUGAAUAUGAAAAAAAAACAAACAACAACUUGCCUGCGGAAAUGUUGAAGUCAAUGUCUUUGCCAGAAGCUCAGGAAAGAAAGGCAUCUUAAAUUUAAAGUUAGAUUCAAGCAGUUGGCUAUCUUACCUUCUCAGUUUUCUCACUUUUUAUGUGGAAUUACACGCUAGCCUAGAUAUAUCUCCGCAGUCGCAUUCCCUUCAUAUGUUACUCAGCUAUGCUGCAAGUGCAUAUGUGAAUGAUUUUAUCUUUAGUAAAAUUAUGUGAAUGAUUUUACUUCUCACCAACUAUUCCUUAGAAUGUGACUUGAUGUUGUUCUUCUCCCGGAAUACUUUUGGGUAGCUGGAGAAACGCACACGCAUGCCUUAGGGUGCCUGCUGUCUCCAAAGAAAUAAACACAUAAGCUGACUUCAAAGUAGAAAAACCCAUCAUUUGUACAGCACUCUUCACCCUGUAUGGAAUUGCGAGAUUUGCCUUUAAUAUUUGGAUGUGAGACACAAACUGUAAGAAAAAAAGGCUUUGCAGUGAAAUGAAGUGGACAAAUGCAAGUUCUGUGUUUAUUGAAGAUAAAGCCCAUUUCCCCAGGUAAAAUAAGUUUUCUUUCCUUCAUCAAAAUCAGUGUUGCAUUUAAUUAUUUUUGCCAGCUGAUAACCUUCCCUAAGUACAAAUGCUUUGCUAACAAAGGUCAGCUCAACUCUGCGGUUACAAAUGUUAUUUUAUAUUUAUUCUGGAAUAUAUUUUCCCUGUAUCAGGCACUUUCAGCUUUCCAUUUACUGGAACUGAGGCAUACUGUCUCCAUCAGGGAAUUCCCCUAACCUCCAUGCACAAUUUCCCUUUUACGCUAUUUCACUUCAAUAAAAAUAGAGGACAAAACAGUGCCUGGCCUUGUUAGUGUGUGCAAAGAGGACACAGAAAAUAAAUCGAGUUGUUGAACUUUUUCUUAUCUGAUCACAACGUGGAGGUCACGAUCCUGUGGCCACAAGGCCUGGAUUAGACCAGCACAUGCAGCACAGCCAGUCUUCUGGAGGGGGGCUGUGCACCAUUCAGCAAGGCACAGGGAGAUGCUGGUCCUGGUCUGCCUGCUGAGGCAGCAAAUAUGCAGAAAGGUUUUCCAGAAUGUCCAGCCAUGUAGCUCCCGUUGUUGUACUUGGAGCCUCUACACCGUAGCACCUUUCCGUCUCUGCCUUUGGAUGGAGCAGGGCAGGCUGAGCUUUGCCAGCACUUGUGCUGAUGGUGGAGAACAUGCCAGAACUUAUGAUUUUAGGUUUGAGUUAUCAUGUUAAGUAGUAGUUGUUAACUAAUUGCUGUAGAUUAGAAAUGUUUUUCAGUUGUGCUUGAACAUAUGUUAGGGAGAGAUGUAGCCUAAAAAGUGACUGCUUGAGAAGGGAAAAAUGCCAGAGGGAAUCUAGUGCUAUGAAAAGGUCACAGAACUGUGACAAGUCUAAGCCUACUUAUUCUGUCUUACUGUAUUUUAACAGCAGAAUAAAAUGUGGUAACCCUUGAAGCAUCAAUAUUGGUAAUUAACUUUCUGUUGAGUCUCUCAACCAUUUUACAAGUUUGUUAUCGAUUUCAGUCAAAACUGACCAUCAGCCUUUCUUAAGGUACCUUUCUCAUGGCUGAUGUGUUUUUUAUCUGGCAGUAUUUCCCUGCUCUGGCUUCAUUACUGCCUCCGAAGACACAAUGUAUAGUUGCCAAUAAAUGGGCAGAGAUGCAUGCCUCUCUUGUCAUGAGCCCACACAAAGGAGCUAACAGGAAACUUCCUCAUUUGUUGCUAUCACAAACCUUACAUUUUACAUUCUUUCCUUGGAAUAAUCAGUGUCAUCUCUUUUUUUGAUCAUUCAUAAAAAUGUCAAAGCCAUUUGCUAGCUUUAAAAAGUCUGGACAUGGCUGUUUGCUGAAUACCAUUUCCUAGCUAUUACUUGUUCUAUAGAACCUCUGCCCAUAUUAGAAGUAACACACCUUCAUUUAUUCUCUUUUAUUCUCAUGAUUUCAGCCAAAUAAGCACAGAAUGUGUUUACAGGCUAAUUAAGAACAAGUGCCAUCUCCAGAGAUGCAUGCUGUUUCUGAGAUACUUAGUGAUAUGGUCUCCAUUACCAGAUAAAAACAUUUCCUGUUUAGGCAACUCCAAAUCAAUUUUUUUUUUCUAUACUAAUCAAAAUUGAAACAUGCCAGUAAUUGCAUGGCUUGAUAGGCAGAACUUGUCUGAGAGUUUUAUAUCUGCAAAUAACAAAGCACAUCAUUAAUACAGGCACAGAACAAGAGAUGUAUUCACCUACACACACAAAAAAAAUAGAUAUGUAUAUAAAGGGAGUACUUUGACUAUGUGUCAGUGCUGCUCCUUUGAACUGAACUCCAAGUACAGAUGGAGGCCAGAGUAACUCAAAGAGGACAUCACAGAAAUUAUAAGGGCCUACAAGCUUGUUGUAGAAGAAUAACAAAAGUUGAACACAAUUAAAUUUCUCUGGAGCUCACGUGAAUCUCUGCAACUAUAUCAGCUCUUUUUUGUUACUGGUAUGUGUUUUCAUUUAUUUCCGUGUGAUGGUUGUUGUAUGCAUAGCCAGCCCAGAAUCAGGGAGGGCAGAAGUCAACGCUAUGUCGUUUCUGUUUCUACACAAUGUUGUCCAUCUCCAUUGUCUCUGUGAAAGUUAGCAAAAGAUUACUUUGUUUGUUGAACUUUGAUUCCAGCAGAAAUAUAUCUAUCAAAGCUCCUUUUAGAAAGUUUCACAGUAGCAGUUAGGGUUAAUUACUGACUUCUUGAGUAAGCUGACAAAAUUUUAAUGAAUUUCAGAUGGCCCUAAAAACAUUGUAGUUCAAAAAGACAUCCUAAUAAAAUCUAUUUCUUUGAAGUCAUGCCUUCAUUUUCUUCACCUCUCCUUUAUAAGAGAGGAAUCUUUGUUCCAGUUCUUGAAAAGCAUAUUCAGGUUUUAAUUUCAAAGUACUUGGAAAUUUUCAGAGGAUGGGUUUUUCAGGUGGAUUUUGAUGAAAGAUUUUUGUUCAAAGUUUGCUGCUGGAAGCAUUUUAGCUUUCCAAUGAGUUACAAUAAUAAUUCUAAAAUAUAUAAUACACAUACACCACUGAUUCAGAAAGAAACAGAAAUAUAAAAGCAUGGACAGGGUUGCUAAUGGCUCAUAUUUGACGUUCUGUUCACUCUAUAAAGAACAAUCAGAAAGAAAUGAUAUUUUGAAAAGCAUCAAGACAUCAGGCUAGAAGAGAUCUUCUGGAUCAUCAGCUUGAGAUACUGCUGUCUUGGGCAGUCAUAUAAGGCUGCUUAUGAAAUUAUUAAACUGUAAGGAUUAAAUUAAUAGUCAAACAAUGUAGAAGAAUGCAAGAAAAAAAACCAAUGAAAAUGUAAAUCAUCAGAUAUUUGUGAAAAAUUGACCUUGCCUGUCUCUGAAGAUCAAUUGCCUGGAACAUGCUCUGCAAUCUCUAUGUUAUUUAACCUCUGAUACACCCCUUCAAGUACUAUGUGUGGUUUUGUGUCACUAUUAAAACAAAUGCAAUAAUACUUC